This 301-nucleotide ribosomal RNA is filed under the name uncultured bacterium. RNAcentral's name for it is "partial 16S ribosomal RNA". It matches the Rfam family "Bacterial small subunit ribosomal RNA", at positions 509 to 807 of the family's 1533-position model. The record is from RNAcentral.
CAGUCGCCGCGGUAAUACGAAGGGGGCUAGCGUUGCUCGGAAUGACUGGGCGUAAGGGGCGCGUAGGCGGUUCGUACAGUCGGAUAUGAAAUUCCUGGGCUUAACCUGGGGACUGCAUUCGAUACAUGCGGGCUUGAGUGUGGAAGAGGGUUGUGGAAUUCCCAGUGUAGAGGUGAAAUUCGUAGAUAUUGGGAAGAACACCGGUGGCGAAGGCGGCAACCUGGUCCAUGACUGACGCUGAGGCGCGAAAGCGUAGGGAGCAAACAGGAUUAGAUACCCCCGUAGUCCCUGUCUCUUAUAC